This 253-nucleotide ribosomal RNA is filed under the name uncultured bacterium. Its description in RNAcentral is "partial 16S ribosomal RNA". It matches the Rfam family "Bacterial small subunit ribosomal RNA", at positions 524 to 776 of the family's 1533-position model. The record is from RNAcentral.
UACGUAAGUGGCGAGCGUUAUCCGGAAUUACUGGGCGUAAAGCGUGCGCAGGCGGUUCGUGAUGUCUGAUGUGAAAGCCCCGGGCUCAACCUGGGAAUUGCAUUGGAAACUAGCGGGCUGGAGUGUGGCAGAGGGGGGUGGAAUUCCACGUGUAGCAGUGAAAUGCGUAGAUAUGUGGAGGAAUACCGAUGGCGAAGGCAGCCCCCUGGGUCAAGACUGACGCUCAUGCACGAAAGCGUGGGGAGCAAACAGG